UACGUAGGGCGCAAGCGUUAUCCGGAAUUAUUGGGCGUAAAGAGCUCGUAGGCGGUUUGUCGCGUCGGCCGUGAAAACCUGCAGCUUAACUGUGGGCUUGCGGUCGAUACGGGCAUCACUGGAGUUCGGCAGGGGAGACUGGAAUUCCUGGUGUAGCGGUGAAAUGCGCAGAUAUCAGGAGGAACACCGGUGGCGAAGGCGGGUCUCUGGGCCGAUACUGACGCUGAGGAGCGAAAGCGUGGGGAGCGAACAGG
This 254-nucleotide ribosomal RNA is filed under the name uncultured bacterium. RNAcentral's name for it is "partial 16S ribosomal RNA". It matches the Rfam family "Bacterial small subunit ribosomal RNA", at positions 524 to 776 of the family's 1533-position model. The record is from RNAcentral.